UCACAUAAUGUCAACUCACUUCGCAUAUCAUGAUUGCUACCAGCCAGAAACAGGCUCCUUGUCACACGAGUCUUAAUUCUGCUUUUUAAACUGUUGUGGUUUUAUGAUUUUUAUUAUUGAUAUUCCACAUCAUAACAUCAUGUAGUGCACUGGGAAUUAAAGGGUUAAUGCUGCAGUUCUGUGGAUAGUCAACAAGUUCUGUUUACCGAUCUUUGAAGAGAAGCGAUGCAUUACAGCUCCCAGAAAACUUUGCUGUUCAGUUUCCUUUUUCCAGUCAUGGGAAAGAUAAAACUGAUUGGAAGUCACGGGAUGGCUCUCUUUGCUCCCUGGCCAAGAACCUUGGUUGUUUUUCUGAAUUCUGUCUGAAGAAAACCCAACUGAGAAUGAGUGGCAAAAGCAUCCUUUCUGACCACACCAGAGGCCUCAGGAGGGGCUACUUCAUCAUGAAUUCAAUUCACUAUGAAUUCAGGGCCCAAUGGGUACAGGUGGGCUUUUGGUAUCUUUUGGUAUAGCUACCUUGGACAUUAAGUAGCUGCCUACCUUGCCUGGUCUCUCAGAGAACCCUGCUGUUGUGAGGCUGCUAUGAGUAGAAGAACAGCAGGUGCCAACUGCUACCACAACAGUGCACUGGAAGCAAUAUUGCACCAGCCAGGAGUCCCUAAUUCCUAUCCACAAAUUGAUUCAUCAUCUGGAGAACCAAGGAGUAAUCUGUAAGACUCACUCAACAUUCAGUAGUCCCAUAUGGCCAAGGGAGUUCAGAGGCUAACAGUGGACUAUCAUGGCCUGAAUGAACUCAUGCCACAACUGAGUGCUGAUAUGCCAGACAUGACAGGAUUUCAAUACAAACUGGAGUCAAAGGCAGCCAAGUGAUAUGCCACAACUGAUGUUGCCAGUGUAUUCUUCUCAGUUCCUUUGGUGGCAGAAUCCAGUCCACAGUUUGCUUUCACUGGAAGGGACAUCCAGUACACCUGGAAUUGACCACCCUAGGAGUUGAAACACAGCCCUAUCAAUUGCCAUGGUCUCAUCCAGACUGCACUAGAAUAGGGGAAACUUCUGAACAUAUAUACUGGCAACAUCAUCAUGUGAAGCAACACAGUAGAGGAAGUUUUUGAGAUAGAGGAAGUUUCUGAGAAAGGGAAAAAAGAAUUCAAAUCCUUUGUCAUAAAGCAAAGUAAGGUCAAGCGACUUACUCAAGAGAUCCAAUUCUUUGGAAUAAAAUGGCAAGAUGGAUGUCAUCAGAUCCUUGUGGAUGGGAUCAACAAAAUAAUUGCCAUGUUCCCACCAUCUAGCAAAAAGGAAACACAGUCUUUCUUAGGUGUUUGGGGUUUUUGGAGAAUACAUAUUCAAGAUUACAGCCUGACUGUAAACCUUCUCUAUCAAGUGACCCAGAAGAAGAAUGAUUUUACAUGGAGUUCUGAGCAACAACAAGCCUUUGAACAAAUUAAGCAGAAGACAAUCCAUGCAGCAGCCCUUGGGCCAGUCCAGGCAGGACAAGAUGUAAAAAAAAUGUGCUCUACACUGUAGCUGGGGUGAAUGGCCCUACCUGGAGCCUCCAGCAGAAAGCACUGGGAGAGAUUCAAGUUUGACCCCUAGGGUUUUGGAGUCAAGGAUACAGAGAAUCUAAGGCCCACUACGCUCCAACUGAUAAAGAGAUAUGGACAACAUAUGAAGGGGUUCCGAGCUGCUUUGGAAGUGGUUGGUACUGAAGCACAGCUCUUCUUGUCAUCCCAACAGCCUGUGGUGGGCUGGAUUUUCAAAGGGAGGGUGGCUCCACACAUCAACAACUGAUGCUACACCAAGUGGGUCACACUGACCACAGAACAGGCUCGAAUAGGGAAUCCCAGUCAUCUAGGAAUUUUGGAAGAGGUCAUGGAUUGGCCUGACGGCAAAGAUUCUGGAAUAUCACCAGGGGAGGCGAUGUGUGCUGAAGCAGCCUCACUGCAUAGUAAAUUACCAGAGAAUGAGAAGCAAUAUGUUUUAUUCAGUGAUGAGUCCUGUUGUACAGUGCAAGAAUGUUGGAGGUGGAAGGCUGCUUUGUAGAGCCUUAUAUGACAAGUUUUCUCCUCAACCUGAUGGGAUACCCUUGGAUUUUGUGUUUUUUUCCUUUGAAAUAACCUGUCUGCACAUGGAUAGAUUGUUGUUUCCCCACUUCUUCUUUUUGUCUCCCAUGACACUUUUUAACCUAUACGUUUCAUCCUGUAGCCUUGCUACAAGGCAGUGCAGGUCAUCUACCUGCUCACAUCUCACACAUCUGUUCUGACUGCUGUCCUGUAAUGCCAGUGAAAGGCUCAUGCUCUCCACACAGCCUGAGGUGUGGACAACUACAUGAUUCCCUCUGAAUUCAGUCAGGGUUACAACAUCCUUCCUGACAGUGGUAGACAGAUACAUCCUUAUACAUCAGAAUGCUGUGGAAAAAAAAAAAAACAAAAAACCUGUCUGAAGGAUUUAAAGUAACAUUCUCUACUGUCUUCCAACAUUUUCAAGAACUGUAAUAGUUUUAAGUAGAAGGAGACUAAACUCAGGCUUCUAAAAUCAUUCUAGAUUUCUUCCCAGUGUAGAACUGAACAUACAAAAGCUGACAAAGGCAGUGAGUAGGUUGCUGUUGUAAGGCCAAAAUAACUGGUGGUUUGAAAGCCUGUGUCCAAAGGUGUUUUGCUCUGCCUAAUGACCAAGGGGUAGAUGUUGGAAGAUCAUUAUGUAACCUGAAAGUUAGCAGAAAUCAUGAUAGCAGUACAAAUCUAGUUUUGUGAAGGCUGUGGGGUCUCAUAGAAGAUGCCAGACUGCAGCUGGGAUGGCUGGUGGACUUUGGCUUUAUCUAACAUAGGUAGAGUGCUUCAUCUCAUGUACCUCUUCCUAUUCAGAUCACAGCUAGGCCUAGCUUUGCAAUACUUUUCUUAGAAAUCACCCCUAAUUAAAGUCUGUGUUGAAAAUAACAAGAGCUCUCCUUCUUGAUGCAAAUGGAAUCUGAUGCAAAAAGGAGGGUCGUUUAUCAUCCAGUUUUGAAAGAAGUAUGAGAAAACAAUUAUUUAACCCUCAGAAGGAAAAAUUCAUGAUAUGAUUCAACUUUCCUAUUUAGUUGCUGAGAGCAGUUUGGAUCUGAAUAUAAAGAAGUACUGAGUGAAAGAUAAAGGUACUUCUGAGCAGCCCUGCAUGCCAAUGACAGGUAAUUGUUAAUUUUUUUCUUGUAAUAGUGGGCUGAAGAGCAGGGUAUGUCAGUCUGCAGGAUAUAUGCAAAUGUUCUACAUCUAUUAGUCCUCUGAAGUAUUAAAAAACAUUGCUUGAAUGGUCAUCAUCACUAAGCAGAAAGGAAGGGAAGUUCUAAUGGAUCUUUCCACUCUAAAGGGGAAAUUUGCUUGGCAACAGUAGCCUCUCUUUUCCUGAACUCCUCGCAGUCCUCAUCCCUAACUGACAUAUGCUUUAAAGCACCAAGUCAUCAGUAUUCGCAGUAUUCUUAGUAUAACAUAGUAUACUGAAACAUUAGCCUAGCAUUUUACAUAUGAAAUGUUAGCAUUGCUAACAUUUGGAUGGUGCGAGAAAAAUGAGUAAUUGUGAGAAAGGUUGUUAGAUGGUUUAAAAUUAAGCUUGUAUUUCUUCAUUCAUACUACUUUCAAGACUGAGCCCACAUACCUGAAAUGAUACUGUUAAAUACUAAUCACUACUUAACACUUAUCAAUGUGUGAAACGCUGCAAUCCAAGGAGAAAAGGAAGGAAAAUCUAUCUUAAUGCUCCUGAGACUUUUGAGGGAAGAAAAAAAGAACAUUCCCGCUAUGACAUUAAAGUACAAUGAAAAAAACAUACCAUGUCUAUUCAUCACUAAAGAAGUUCAGACUUGUACUAAAAAAAAAAUUAAAACUUUUUGCGUAUCAUCUUCAGUCAAUUAGUACUUUACCUCAUAGUAAAGAAAAAUAAAAAUGCAGAUGCACAACAGUUGUUUGUAAGCAUUUAUCGGGUAACCACAUGAUGCAGUAUUAAAUAUGCAAAGCAAGAGUUCUGCUCAUGUCAGUUCACUAGGCGAGGUGAACUACUGUUUCCACAUCAGCAUUUCUUCAGUUUCUCUGGUGGUAUGCUGUCAGUUUUUGGGGCUCAAAGGUAACAUUAACUUGAUACUGUGAUGAAAAUAUGCCCUUGGAGUUAGCAUACUCACAUAAAAUAUUGUUUGUGAUGAGCUGGUAUUUCUGAUAUUUCUGAUAUUGUCUGACAGUUUAGGCAGAUUUUUGAUCACCCUUGACCACAGAGGAAGAACCUUUAAUAUGGUGAGCGGAAAUGCAGCUAUCUCCUGUAUAUUACUACGUACAGUACUAUGACCUCAUCACCUUAGUUUCUUGCUCUGGAAAACAAAUAUAUUAAAAUAUAUCACCCUCAUAAGUGUGACAGGAGGAUUAUUCAAUCUGUCUUUACAAAAAUCCACUGCUGGAAAAUGACAGUAAGGAUUUUUGAAAUUGUUUACUUCCAUUAAGAUUUUUCUUCUUCAGCCAUUCAUCUGCCUGCCAUUUUCAAAUAAAUUACACCUCCUGCUUUUGAGAAAUAUUUUAAUAAGCUUGUGAUAAGACGUAAAGUCGUUUGUUCAUUGUAUGAGGUGUUAUUUGUAUAAGAACAGACUCACGGCUAGGGAUGGGAAGAUUGGGAGCCUUCUUUAUGACUGUUUGUUCAUUGUAAAGGGAAGUGCUAAACGACCUGGCGGUUGGGGGUACAGGCUGCGGGCAAACAUCCUGUUAUGGUGAUAGUUGUCAGGCAAAUCGAGGACUGCUUUGUAAAAAGCCAAAUCGAGGAUUGCUUUGUAAAAAGCCCCCUUGUCAGGACAUCAGGAAAAUAAACAAUGUUGCAACAACGGAAACCGCUGGAAGCGGUGAAGAUAACUACGAACUUUAUCCCAGACGCCGACCCCCUAGCAACGGCCCACAUACACUGGAAGGUCACGUAUACAGGAACUAAGGACUGUAUAAAAGACGGGACUCAAACCUCGCUCAGAUUGCGUGCUGUUGUGGAAGUUGCGACUUCCCGGCCGCCCAGCGCUGCGUUUUGCUUGUGUUUUUGCUUACUCGAAUUAAUAAAUAUUUUUCUAUGAUCUGAUUCGAUGCGGUCUAAUUUAUAACAAGCUGAAGGUAAUUUAAAGAAGAGGAAAACUCUGAAAAUAACCUUAGUGUACGAAUAUAGCCCUUCACAGUUAAUUUCCUUAGCUGUACUUCCUAAAGACAGAGGACUUUGGAAAUGGAUAUUAGCUAAGCCUGUACAGUUAGGUAUAACUUCAUGUAGAUUCAAAAGUCUGUUGGAUCAAGACCAAGGGUUUUUUUUAAGUACAGGUUACUAUAAAUUGACAAGGUUAUCUCUGCUUUCUCAGACUAAAAUCUAUUUGAAGACCCAAGCAAUUAGAUUUUCAUUAUUUCACAAAAAAAUUAUAAAUUUUGUUUAAUAAUCUUGUCUUAAAAAUUGUCUUAAUCUUAAAAAAUCUUGUUUAUAAAUCUUGUCUCAUUCUUUCUAAAUUUCUAAAACUUAAAAGAAUUUCCAACUAAGUAGAGUAUGCAUACAAAAUAUGUAUGUGGACAUGUAUGUCGCAUCAGGGAUAUAAAAAAAAGCUAGGCAAAAUUAAUCUUAUGACUUCAGCAUAAAUAUUAAAAAAAGAUAAAACUCAAAUGCUUUUUUUAGAAUUGUUACUUUAAAAUUAUGGAUGUCAGUACCUUUGGCAGCUUGAAAAAUUAGACAUUUCAAUAUGGAACUUAAAAAAAAA
Molecule: long non-coding RNA, 5725 nt
Organism: Numida meleagris (helmeted guineafowl)
Lineage: Eukaryota; Metazoa; Chordata; Aves; Galliformes; Numididae
Exons: 2
Source: RefSeq, a predicted model, not a curated record